This is a long non-coding RNA of Oncorhynchus kisutch (coho salmon), 2398 nucleotides long. RefSeq lists it as uncharacterized. The transcript has 5 exons. The record is from RefSeq and is a predicted model, not a curated record. Lineage: Eukaryota; Metazoa; Chordata; Actinopteri; Salmoniformes; Salmonidae.
AAGUGCCCCAGUGCAGGUCUGUUCCAAAGUGGGUUUGGGAUGGAGGGGGAGGGGAAAGUGCUCUAUUGGACAGUCCCCUGGGACAGGAGGCUUCUAGCACAGAGAGGCAAGAGGCCUGCGGGACCCCUGUUCAAAUUCACAUGCCUUAAAGGGUCUAUCUGUCAACUACAACUCCCACACUAGGGUGAAUGUGACUUCCUGUCUGUAGCCCAUGUGAUGGAUAACCGAAAAAACAUGUUCAUAUUAAACAUCAAUGGAUUCUCUGCUUAUGGCAUCGUCAGGGAAGAUGACUCACCCACUGUCCCUAUACGUGCACUUAUCUUGUUAUUCUACAAACUCCCAGUUGUUCCUAAGAAGAGGUCCAUCCUUAAUGUGUUGUUGCUUCCCAGAAAUGUUAUGAUCAGGGAGGUGAAUAGAUUAGAGGUGUCAACCAAUACGUUGGCUGGAAUUUGCAUGUUUUGGUAACAUUAAUACUUGGAUAAUGUGUUAUAGUUUAAACAUUGGAUAACAAAAUGUUAUUUUAUGAAAACAUUCAAAGGUACAGGAGGAGUGGAAGAGAAGGAAUGGAGACCAAGAAACCUGCAUUGAAACUAACGCUCACUGCCAACUAAUCCCAAAGCAACAAUACACCCUCUCCACUGAUCUUACAGAUGAUCAUCAAAUAAGACCAAAGCAUUUGAAAACUACGAAAACUAUGAAAACUACAUCCCAACAUUUCAGUUGUUCUUACAAACUGUUGUUGAACAAGUUGAUCUUCUCCUGAAAGAAAAUGAUGGUGCAGAGUCUGUGUGGGAUAGACUUGUCUGGCUUCCAGUUUCACCAACAGAAAUCAUCUCUACAGCGUCCGGCCCUGCCCUGUAGCCCCUCCUGCCAAUCCUCCUACUCUCUCAGGAGGGGACUUCAUAACAAAACACAGAGUGAAACUGGAGGAACGCAUGGGUGAAUUGCAGCCCACACUCCUCAAGCUUCAGGACUGUAACGUACUGAACGAUGUGGAGCGCUGAGAAGAUUGACAACAUGAGUUCACGGAUCCAGAGGAACAAGGCCCUUCUGGACAUGAUUGUGAGGAAGGGACCUCGUGCACAGGAACAGCUCUACCAGGCCCUAAAUAAAGAGGACCCUUACCUGGUGGAACACCUGGAAGAGGAGACAUCCUGACCAUAGAUUUGUGUGUAAGGUUAUUCAACGGUUGUGCCCAAAAUGACUACAACAUGUAUAUGGACCAGGAGCCAAGAGAUCAGGACAGGCUUGCUACACAGGUUCACUGGCUGCAAACAGCAAGCUUCAGGACUUUGCUAUUUAAUGGCAUUAUAUAUGUUUUAAUCUCUGUAUAAAAUACAUAUGUAGAUAGUAAGUAUAUAUUUACAAGCCUUUUUACAUUUUCAUGUCAGUAUUUUAUACAUACAGAUUUAUGCAUCAGUCAUUUCUAUAGAUGUUCAAUGUCGCUGGAAUUUCUGUCCGGCACACUUGUGUUUUUAUUGGUCUCAUACUGUGAUGGAGAGAUGCUUGUAUAAAAGUUGCGUCAUUCUUGUCCAUAUAGAAUGUACUGUAUGAAAAUGACCAUAUGCCAUUCAACAGACUAGGCCUGGCUAUAUCUGUGGACCAGAGAUCCAUGCUAAGUGGUGACAGGCACCCUGUUCUACAAAAACAAAAAAUACAAUAACAGUGUGAGGUCAAUGUUCCGUGUUCAUAAUGCUCAAUAGUGUAAAGUUAUAUUACAUUUGAUCUGAGCUACUCCACCUGUGUCAAAACAUCCUGGGUGUGUCAUGUUUCCAUUGAAUAGCAGCUCUAUCCUAGCACGUCGUCCCUCGUUCCAAAAAACAGUUCACACAUUGAUGAGCCGCUUCCGGACCACAGAUUAAAAGGGCUCUGUUCAAUUGUCGUCGCAGAAAUGGAUCUUUACAGCGUGAUUGACAUUUUAAGGAAGUGUUCCCGCUUUUGUGGAGGCCGCAUUCACGGUAAACGCUGCAUAUGUUGGCUCAAUCGGAAAUGACCUUUACAUUUCUAUCAAAAUGUUAUUCGUCACAUGCUUCGUAAUGAACAGGUGUAGACUAACAGUGAAAUGCUUCCUUGCAGGCCCUUCCCAACAAUGUAGAGAGAAAGAAAAUAGAAAAGUUAUAACACAUAAUAAUAAAAGUAAAAAUAAAUACACAAUGAGUAACGAUAACUUGCCUAAAUACACAGGCACCAGGGCCGAGCCCAUGUGCAAGGGUACGAGGUAAUUGAGGUAGGUACAGUGCCUUCAGAAAGUAUCACACCCCUUGACUUUUUCCAUCUUUUAUUGUGGUACAGCCUGAAUUUUUUUUUAUGGAUUAAAUGUUAAUUUUCUGGCACUGGCCUACACACAAUACCCCAAUGUCAAAGUGGAAUUUUUAUAAAUGAAUUAAAAAUGAAAAGC